This 270-nucleotide ribosomal RNA is filed under the name uncultured bacterium. RNAcentral describes it as "partial 16S ribosomal RNA". It matches the Rfam family "Bacterial small subunit ribosomal RNA", at positions 9 to 267 of the family's 1533-position model. The record is from RNAcentral.
GAGUUUGAUCCUGGCUCAGGACGAACGCUGGCGGUGCGCCUUAUGCAUGCAAGUCGAGCGAAGCUUUUCAGUAGUUUACUACAGAAAAUGACUGAGCGGCGAACGGGUGAGUAACGCGUGAGCAAUCUACCUUAGUUACAGGGAUAGCCCGAGGAAACUCGGAUUAAUACCUGAUAUUCUUUUUAUCUCGCAUGAGUUUUUAAGGAAAGGUCAGCCGAACUAAGAUGAGCUCCGCGUUCUAUCAGCCUAGUUGGUGAGGCUAAUAGCUCA